CUCAUUUAAUUGCCAUAAUUAUGAUUUAAAAAUACAAAUAUACACAUACACAUCUCAUAUACAGGGUGUAUAAAAAGUAAUCCAACUUUGGCAUCGUGCAUUAUAUAUUACGUCUAUCCAUUUACGUUUUUCAUGCCAAUAAAGAUCAGGCUUUUAGCUGUCGAAUAGCUUUCUUGUAUCAUUGCGAUAAAAAAUAAUCAAUACUCUACGACCCGAUUUAAAAAUUCCGGUCGAAAUCGCAUUUUUCCACCGUUGGGAAUUACAUAAAAAGCUAUUGUCUGAGUAUUAAAUUGUUCUCAUUUGGGAUUGAAAUUGAAUUCCCCGAUUAAACAUGGCGCAACGCAAGUGUGAGCAUCAAGUUUUGAUAAACUUUUAUUCGCGAUUUUCCACCGAAAUUAACUGAUAUAAAAACGAAGGCGAGAGUUUGUAUAUCAGAUAAAGAUCGGAUGCGACCCAUCUUAUGAGUUCAUUGGCGAAGUAAUUUUAAAAAUAAACAUUGUCUAAGCAGAGGAAAUCAAAGCUGAAGUUUAUGUAAAUCAUGACAAAUCUUUAUGCGAUUUACCACAGGCGGCUCAAUCUCAGAAUGAAUGAUCAGGUGUUGAGGGUUUUUAACGGUUUUUAUAAACAAAUUUAUAGUCAACCAAAACUAUUCUAAAAUGUGUGUGCUCAUUAUAUAUAAUAUAACAGUAAAAGGCUAAUCACAGGCGGCACGACCGCAUCGCCUUCAAAGUCAAAUAUCUCCGCUCAAAUUUGUCGAACGCCAAAACAAAUUCGAUUACAUCUUUUCACAAAGUUUUUAAAUAAUAUGGUUUGAUCAUAGUUUGGGCAAAUUUAGCGACGAACGGAACAAAAAUCUCCUCAACUUCGUCACGUCCACGAUCGUGCCCGAGCAGCCCUAAGUAUUUUGAACAGUAUCCGAAAUUGAGGAGAUUUUUGUUCCGUUCGUCG
This is a non-coding RNA of Paramuricea clavata, 948 nucleotides long. NCBI's taxonomy places the organism in Eukaryota, Metazoa, Cnidaria, Anthozoa, Malacalcyonacea, Plexauridae. The record is from the annotation of a GenBank genome assembly.